AGGAUUAACGCUGGCGGCGUGCCUAACACAUGCAAGUCGAACGAGGUAGCAAUACCUAGUGGCAGACGGGUGAGUAACGCGUGGUCAACCUACCGUUGAGUGGGGGAUAACUAGCCGAAAGGUUAGCUAAUACCGCAUACGAGUCUCGGGGGCAUCCCUGGGCCUUAAAAGGAGCAAUCCGCUCGAUGACGGGACUGCGUCCCAUUAGCUAGAUGGUGGGGUAACGGCCUACCAUGGCUCCGAUGGGUAGCUGGUUUGAGAGAGCGACCAGCCACACUGGGACUGAGAAACGGCCCAGACUCCUACGGGAGGCAGCAGUGAGGAAUUUUCCGCAAUGGGCGAAAGCCUGACGGAGCGACGCCGCGUGUGGGAAGAAGGCCUUCGGGUCGUAAACCACUGUCGAAGGGGACGAUAAUGACGGUACCUUGGAGGAAGCCCCGGCUAACUACGUGCCAGCAGCCGC
This 463-nucleotide ribosomal RNA is filed under the name uncultured bacterium. RNAcentral's name for it is "SSU rRNA". It matches the Rfam family "Bacterial small subunit ribosomal RNA", at positions 26 to 518 of the family's 1533-position model. The record is from RNAcentral.